This is a non-coding RNA of Phrynosoma platyrhinos (Desert horned lizard), 72 nucleotides long. NCBI's taxonomy places the organism in Eukaryota, Metazoa, Chordata, Lepidosauria, Squamata, Phrynosomatidae. The record is from the annotation of a GenBank genome assembly.
GGCAGUGUAGCAUAAUGGUUGGAAUGUUGGACUAGGACUCUGGAGACCAGGAUUUGAUUCCCUGCUCAGCCA